This 1070-nucleotide long non-coding RNA is filed under the name Pan troglodytes (chimpanzee). RNAcentral's name for it is "long non-coding RNA NONPTRT011398". Lineage: Eukaryota; Metazoa; Chordata; Mammalia; Primates; Hominidae. The record is from RNAcentral.
GUUUCCGCAGUCGAUGAUGGCGUUGUAGGAGGCGUUUACCGAGCCGAAGUAGUACUGGGUCUGUUUCAUGACGCAGCUGCUCUCGCGCGUCUCGGGGUUCCCCUCGGCCUCCGCGGGGUCUGCGAGGGCCCAGAGCGCCUCAGCUCCGCCCACAGACCCUGGCAAGGUCUCCGGCCUCCCUCAGUGGUAGGCCCCACCCUCCCCAUGGAGUCGUCUUAGCUCAGAUUGGGGACCCGGACUUGAGGAGGCGCCUCCAAAGCCCUACCUACCUGCUUGGAACCAGCUGUGGUAGAUGAGGCCGUAGAGAAGCUGCUGGAACAGGGACCUGCAGCGCACGGGGAGCCGAGUGCAGGUGGUCAGCAGAGGACGAUGCCGUGCCCUACUUCUCUUCUGAGCCCUGCCGGCCAGGGAGCACCUUCUCUACCCACCUCCCGCUCAGGACUCACCAGGCGGCAGCAGAGGUCCACCAGGCCAGGUUAAGGAAAUCUGCAACGGUGGGCUGCAGUGGAGAGAGGGGCGUGGACUGCCACUGCUGCCCCUCGCCCUAGGUCACCCCCAGCUUUAUCAAAUGUCAGAGGUAGGGGGUCAUCUGUGGGCAGGUCUCCCAGUCCCCCCCAUCUCCAGUCCAGGCAUCUCUGGGGACUCACCACAAAGACACCCCGGGGUGCAGCACCCAGGUUGCCAGGGGGCUGAGGGGCACAGGCUGCCUGAUAGUCAUAGGACUCCUUGCGGGUGUAGAAGGAGUUAUUGUAGAGUGCCAGCAUCAGGUUGGCAUCCACCUCACUGAAGAACCUGCCCACCUGAGGAUGUCAGGAGAAAGCCAUGGUCACAGGGCUGGCAGUGCUACACCCCCAGAAGGCUCAAAUCCCUACUCUCUUCUUUCACUCUCUUCCUGAUCCUCACCUGGUCCCACUGAUGGUUCUGGUUUGACAGCACCAGGAAUCCUCCAUCAUCAAUGAGGACACACAGCUGGGUGAUGCCUACGUGUUGAGAUCCUGGUCCCUCCACACACGCUCUACCAGCUGCUGCGUGAUGCCCGUGUCCAAGAUCAGGUUGUGCAGAAGGAAGUU